AUUUUGAAAAUGCUUUUAAUAAGUGUUGACAACACCGUUUUGCAAAAUGUAAAGGUACUAUACAAAUUCUUAAUACAAAAAGAAUAAAUUAAAAGCAGAUUUCUUUUUAAUUUCUGCCACUUUGUCUACAACAUACAUCUUUGUCAUUGAUUACAGUUGAACAGAAUCCAGUCAAAUCAUUUUACAUGCUCUACAGUCAGUUUCAGGAGCAACCUAAUCCUUUUCUCCCCAUUUUUAAACUAGAGUCCGUUUUACACAACUUGUAAUAAACUAUUGACAUUAAUGUGUAUGUCAAACUUUACACCGAGUUAAUUAAGCAGUAACUGGUCAUCUGAUAGCACCUGGAUGGGGUUUGCUAUGUAUGUGGAGAACUAAACUAAUACUGGAUGAAAACAAAUUGGAAUUUUAACAGUUUCGACACUCACCUGCAUAUAAUAAAAUUAAAAAAAAAAAAAAAGUCUGAUGUAGGUAUUUUCACCAGCCUUCUGGCUAAACAGGCAAUUUCUUACACGUAACCAAAGAAUCCAAUAGGGGCUGUAUAGCAGACCAGGGGUUUCCUAUUUCAUCUGAAUUUGCUUUAAAGAAAUAGGGGUCUAUAAAGAGCUUGCCAGUGCUUGUGUACAGUAACUCGUUUCCCACCACACGGAUCAAGCAUGUCCGUCUCAAAGGACCAACACUUUAUGUACAUCUCGUAGGAACUGAACGCAGCGCAACAGUAAAACCUGUUUUACUUAAUCUCUGUCUUUACUACCAGACUCUCACGAUGUUUGUGUGAACUGUGAUUCCGCUCCCCUUCCCCAGCUCCAUUCCUUUUGGCCUCCCGGUUCCCAAACCCAGGGGCGGAGAAAGGAUUUUCCUCUCCUUCCUUGUAACCCAGCUGGGCUGAAACACGCGAUCUGACUUCAGCCGUGGUUUCUAACGACGAGCCACGUCGUAUAACCUGCAGCCAUGGAGCCUUGUCCGCUCCUCUCUUUCCCUGUGGCACAGAGUUCAGUUUGCUUAUUCCUGCGUCCUCUUUGGGGAAAAAAGAACGCAGCCUAAGACAUAGUGUUUCCAAACAGGGGAGGCAGUAACCCUGCUUUGUGUACCUCUGACCAUCAAAACAAGAGCAAACUGCUCCUCCCAUUUCAAUCCCCAGAAUCAUUUACUAGUACAGUGGGUCUAUUUCCCCUGCAGGGGUUAUCCUAACAGAUUCUGCAACUCUCUGUCCUUACCACAGGCUGGUGUGGCCAGCCCAGCUGCGCGCAGGGCUGGGGAGCCCAGGCCCUGCAUUGUCCAGACCGGCCCCAGCCUGCUGCGAGCCCCGCCGGAGUCACCCCCAUGGUGCUUUUCCAGUUACAGCAGGGGGACCACCAUGGUGAUUUAUUUCAUUUUAGUGUCCAUUCUUACCCUCUGGGUCUGGUAGAGUCUAUUGUUAUUCUUGGAUUACCUACACAUUAAAAAAAACAGAGUUCUCUUUUUACGCCAAAGCUAACCUCCAUUCUGCUUGCCCGAGUAUCUAGCCCCACCCCAGCUCCUGUCCCUGGCUGUCCAAUACCUUUCCCAUAGGAUGUCAUGACAAUGACACAUGUCAGGGUGGCUGAUGGUGUUGUAGGCAUACGGGCCCUCUGGGAGCUGAUAUAUUUUUUUUUUUCCCCAACCCUGCUCUGCCUGCCAGCUAGUAGACACGUAAGGACUCCCUUCCUCCCUAAGGGCACAGUUGGGUCCUUGGAAUAAGUGACAUCUUGAGAAAGACCAAAGACAUCUGAGCUCUUUGUCACACAAGUGCUAACAGAAGAUGGGCCACAACAGUUAAAACACUUGAAUGGAUGGCAGUGUGCUUUUCCCUUGGCUUCGCAUACAAAAGAAAAUGAAACACCUUGUGCAGGGGGGGAAAAAACAGGAUUCACUUUUACUGGUUGUUUUAAUGAGAAUCACUUUGAGCGAUCAUCACCUUAUGUUUCCUACAAGGCCCCAGAGGAAAGCAGCUCUGUGUCUAGGCCUGAACCCCUACCCCUCC
RNAcentral lists this long non-coding RNA (1999 nucleotides) under Sus scrofa (pig). RNAcentral describes it as "lncRNA (ENSSSCG00060047164.1)". The record is from RNAcentral. Lineage: Eukaryota; Metazoa; Chordata; Mammalia; Artiodactyla; Suidae.